CAGUAGCCGCGGUAAUACGUAGGUGGCAAGCGUUGUCCGGAAUUAUUGGGCGUAAAGGGUGCGUAGGCGGUCUGAUAAGUCUGAUGUGAAAUCUAUGGGCUCAACCCAUAGUCUGCAUCGGAAACUGUCAGGCUUGAGGAUGGGAGAGGUGAGUGGAAUUUCCGGUGUAGCGGUGAAAUGCGUAGAUAUCGGAAGGAACACCUGUGGCGAAAGCGGCUCACUGGACCAUUUCUGACGCUGAUGCACGAAAGCUAGGGGAGCAAACAGGAUUAGAUACCCCCGUAGUCCCUGUCUCUUAUAC
RNAcentral lists this ribosomal RNA (301 nucleotides) under uncultured bacterium. RNAcentral describes it as "partial 16S ribosomal RNA". It matches the Rfam family "Bacterial small subunit ribosomal RNA", at positions 509 to 807 of the family's 1533-position model. The record is from RNAcentral.